CAUACAGCUAAGGGCCCCAAGAAGAAGUUUAAUACGAGCAGACAGAACGAAGCGCCCCAAAACCCCCGCCGCGGCCCCCCUUCCCACAGCGAGGACCUUUCAACGCCACAACUGUUCUCGAGGAAGUACUCCGGCAAAACGCAAGUUUCGCUGAGGCGCGGCGGCCCGAAGAGAGACGCCCGACUUCCCGCUGCCUCGCCCUGCGGCUCGAGCCGGCCAACACCGCGCUGCCGGACGGAGAGGCCUCCGUGCCCAAGGAGCCGUCCCGUCCCCCCUCCCCGCGCAGGGCCUACUUGGGGCGCCCGCCGCCGCCCCGGACCGCUCAGCGUUGCCGCGGGGCGCCGCUCGGGACUCCCUGCCAGCAGGACAGAGCGUAGACGACGGAGGCGCAGCCCCCCUGGCCCUGGUAGCCAGCAGAAAAAAACGCCGCCGGGGCGGGCAGCGCUGCCCCACUCACCCCGCGGGAGCUCGGCGGAGCGGCGCGAGCCGGCAGCUUCCCCUCAGCGCCCACGGCCUCUCCAUGCACAGCACCGGGGCAGGCAGCGCGGCGGCGGGCUGCCGAGCCCCGCUUUACCCACCGCCUCGGCGCAGACGCUCCGCCCCGCCCCGCCCCCUUCCCCCUUCCCCCUUCCACCUUCUUUCCUUCCUCCCUCCCUCCCUCACAGCCGCGCCAGGGAGUGGGGGGGGGCGGGGGCAGCCCCUCGCGCUGGGCGGAGCGAGGAGCGCGGGGCUCCCGCUGCCUUGCGUCAUUACGCAGCUGCUAGGCGACGCGGGGCGGGAUGGUGGUCGCGGCUGUUGCUGCGUGGUGUUGGUGUUGUCCCGCCCUCAGCAGGCGGCGGGGCUGUGGGGGGAGGGGUGCGAGGUCUGCCGUGCGCGGCUGUUCGUCGCCUCAGCUCUGUGAUAGGAGACAGUUGA
Molecule: long non-coding RNA, 915 nt
Filed under: Numida meleagris (helmeted guineafowl)
Lineage: Eukaryota; Metazoa; Chordata; Aves; Galliformes; Numididae
Description: lncRNA (ENSNMEG00000010024.1)
Source: RNAcentral